AAGGAUCAUUACAGAGAGAGGUUUCACCGCCUCGGGGGGCUUCGGCCCCCAACUCUCCACCCCGUGCGUACCUCCUCUUCUGUUGCUUUGGUAGGCCUUUGAGGUCAAGCUCAUGCCGGCGCCGCCGGCGAGUGUCUGCCAGUAGCCCUUUCCGACUCGUUUUAUCAGUGACGUCCGAGUGCCAAUGUAAAUAAUCAAAACUUUCAACAACGGAUCUCUUGGUUCUGGCAUCGAUGAAGAACGCAGCGAAAUGCGAUAAGUAAUGUGAAUUGCAGAAUUCAGUGAAUCAUCGAAUCUUUGAACGCAUAUUGCGCCCCUUGGUAUUCCGGGGGGCAUGCCUGUUCGAGCGUCAUUGCACCCCUCAAGCGUAGCUUGGUAUUGGGAUUUCGCCUUAUAGGCGUGCCCCAAAGGUAUUGGCGGCCCGGGACGGCUUUCAGCGUAGUAAAUUUAUCCCCGCUUCGAAAGUUCGUCCCCGAGGCUGGCCAGAAAACCCAUGAUAUUUUCAACGAUUGACCUCGGAUCAGGUAGGGAUACCCGCUGAACUUAA
This 547-nucleotide ribosomal RNA is filed under the name Lecania croatica. Its description in RNAcentral is "eukaryotic LSU rRNA". The stretch from base 199 to 352 matches the Rfam family "5.8S ribosomal RNA". Lineage: Eukaryota; Fungi; Ascomycota; Lecanoromycetes; Lecanorales; Ramalinaceae. The record is from RNAcentral.